GGCGGACGGGUGAGUAACACGUGAGAAUCUACCCUAAGGAGGGGAAUAACAGCUGGAAACGGUUGCUAAUACCCCAUAUGCCGAAAGGUAAAAGGAUUUAUCCACCUUAGGAAGAGCUCGCGUCUGAUUAGCUAGUUGGUGAGGUAAAGGCUCACCAAGGCCAUGAUCAGUAGCUGGUUUGAGAGGACGAUCAGCCACACUGGGACUGAGACACGGCCCAGACUCCUACGGGAGGCAGCAGUGGGGAAUUUUCCGCAAUGGGCGAAAGCCUGACGGAGCAAUACCGCGUGAGGGAUGACGGCCUGUGGGUUGUAAACCUCUUUUCUCAAGGAAGAAGUUCUGACGGUACUUGAGGAAUAAGCAUCGGCUAACUCUGUGCCAGCAGCCGCGGUAAUACAGAGGAUGCAAGCGUUAUCCGGAAUCACUGGGCAUAAAGCGUCUGUAGGUGGUUUGGUAAGUCUGCUGUUAAAGACUGGGGCUCAACCCCAGAAAAGCAGUGGAAACUGCCAGACUUGAGUGUGGUAGAGGUAAAGGGAAUUCCUAGUGUAGCGGUGAAAUGCGUAGAUAUUAGGAAGAACACCAAUGGCGAAGGCACUUUACUGGGCCAUAACUGACACUGAGAGACGACAGCUAGGGGAGCAAAUGGGAUUAGAUACCCCAGUAGUCCUAGCCGU
Molecule: ribosomal RNA, 674 nt
Filed under: uncultured Oscillatoriales cyanobacterium
Lineage: Bacteria; Bacillati; Cyanobacteriota; Cyanophyceae; Oscillatoriales
Description: bacterial SSU rRNA
Rfam family: Bacterial small subunit ribosomal RNA
Source: RNAcentral